This 69-nucleotide transfer RNA is filed under the name Staurois latopalmatus (Sabah splash frog). RNAcentral's name for it is "tRNA-His". It matches the Rfam family "tRNA". From Rfam's summary of the family: Transfer RNA (tRNA) molecules are approximately 80 nucleotides in length. The record is from RNAcentral. Lineage: Eukaryota; Metazoa; Chordata; Amphibia; Anura; Ranidae.
GUGAACAUAGUUUAAAUAAAAUACUAAAUUGUGAUUUUAGAGAUAAAGACUAAUAACCUUUUGUUCACC